RNAcentral lists this ribosomal RNA (234 nucleotides) under Arthrobacter sp. 19ISP5-5. RNAcentral describes it as "partial 16S ribosomal RNA". It matches the Rfam family "Bacterial small subunit ribosomal RNA", at positions 307 to 553 of the family's 1533-position model. Lineage: Bacteria; Bacillati; Actinomycetota; Actinomycetes; Micrococcales; Micrococcaceae. The record is from RNAcentral.
GCCACACUGGGACUGAGACACGGCCCAGACUCCUACGGGAGGCAGCAGUGGGGAAUAUUGCACAAUGGGCGCAAGCCUGAUGCAGCGACGCCGCGUGAGGGAUGACGGCCUUCGGGUUGUAAACCUCUUUCAGUAGGGAAGAAGCGAAAGUGACGGUACCUGCAGAAGAAGCGCCGGCUAACUACGUGCCAGCAGCCGCGGUAAUACGUAGGGCGCAAGCCUUAUCCGGAAUUA